AGUCCGUAGCGUCUACCGAUUUCGA
This 25-nucleotide transfer RNA is filed under the name Aphyllanthes monspeliensis. RNAcentral describes it as "partial tRNA-Leu". Lineage: Eukaryota; Viridiplantae; Streptophyta; Magnoliopsida; Asparagales; Asparagaceae. The record is from RNAcentral.